RNAcentral lists this unclassified non-coding RNA (20 nucleotides) under Fusarium vorosii. RNAcentral describes it as "partial 28S ribosomal RNA". Lineage: Eukaryota; Fungi; Ascomycota; Sordariomycetes; Hypocreales; Nectriaceae. The record is from RNAcentral.
UUGACCUCGGCUCAGGUAGG